UACGAAGGGGGCUAGCGUUGCUCGGAAUCACUGGGCGUAAAGCGCACGUAGGCGGAUUCUUAAGUCAGGGGUGAAAUCCUGGAGCUCAACUCCAGAACUGCCUUUGAUACUGAGGGUCUUGAGUUUGGGAGAGGUGAGUGGAACUGCGAGUGUAGAGGUGAAAUCGUAGAUAUUCGCAAGAACACCAGUGGCGAAGGCGGCUAACUGGUCCAGAUCUGACGCUGAGGUGCGAAAGCGUGGGGAGCAAACAGG
RNAcentral lists this ribosomal RNA (252 nucleotides) under uncultured bacterium. RNAcentral's name for it is "partial 16S ribosomal RNA". It matches the Rfam family "Bacterial small subunit ribosomal RNA", at positions 524 to 776 of the family's 1533-position model. The record is from RNAcentral.